UACGAAGGGGGCUAGCGUUGCUCGGAAUCACUGGGCGUAAAGCGCCCGUAGGCGGCUUUGUAAGUUAGAGGUGAAAGCCCAGGGCUUAACCCUGGAAUUGCCUUUAAGACUGCAUCGCUAGAAUCGUGGAGAGGUGAGUGGAAUUCCGAGUGUAGAGGUGAAAUUCGUAGAUAUUCGGAAGAACACCAGUGGCGAAGGCGACUCACUGGACACGUAUUGACGCUGAGGUGCGAAAGCGUGGGGAGCAAACAGG
Molecule: ribosomal RNA, 253 nt
Filed under: uncultured bacterium
Lineage: Bacteria
Description: partial 16S ribosomal RNA
Rfam family: Bacterial small subunit ribosomal RNA
Source: RNAcentral